Lactuca sativa (garden lettuce) is the source of this 509-nucleotide long non-coding RNA. RefSeq lists it as uncharacterized. NCBI's taxonomy places the organism in Eukaryota, Viridiplantae, Streptophyta, Magnoliopsida, Asterales, Asteraceae. The record is from RefSeq and is a predicted model, not a curated record.
CAUAUCUACGUCUAGAAGAUGACGCGUAUAUCUUUUUAUAUACGUGGUCUUCUAAAAACAAACAAUUUGCGAGACCAAAUGGUAACGACUUGGCUACACGGCGCAAGAGGUCAAGAAGAUUUUUUUUUUUUUUUUGGUAAAAAAAGAACUUACAGAAAAAAGAAAACAAAACAAAAUAAAGUGAAUUAGACUUUGGAUGUAACAACUUCCAUCGUUGCCCCCCACUCACACCGUCGUCUCCACCUCCCUCUUCCACCGUCGUCGUCCCUCCCUUCUCCACCGUCGUCGCCGGAUCCCUUCGCAUUUGAACGAUGAAUAUUUAAAGACCAAAAGGGCUAUGGAUGUUAUUGGAAUCAGUCAUGAAUAGCAUAUUUUUUGCAUUAAUAGAAGCCUAUAUAUUCAUUGUUGUAUACUUGUUCUGCUUUUAGAUGUUUUUAGUAACAUAAUUAUAGAUGUUUUCUUUAUAUAUAAUAGUUUCUUAUAUUCUUUAAGAAGCUAUAUUUUGUCUA